RNAcentral lists this ribosomal RNA (470 nucleotides) under uncultured bacterium. Its description in RNAcentral is "partial 16S ribosomal RNA". It matches the Rfam family "Bacterial small subunit ribosomal RNA", at positions 28 to 507 of the family's 1533-position model. The record is from RNAcentral.
GACGAACGCUGGCGGCGUGCUUAACACAUGCAAGUCGAACGCUGAAGCACCAGCUUGCUGGUGUGGAUGAGUGGCGAACGGAUGAGUAAUACGUGAGUAACCUGCCCUUGACUCUGGGAUAAGCCCGGGAAACUGGGUCUAAUACUGGAUGCUACAUGUCACCGCAUGGUGGUGUGUGGAAAGGGUUUACUGGUCUUGGAUGGGCUCACGGCCUAUCAGCUUGUUGGUGAGGUAAUGGCUCACCAAGGCGACGACGGGUAGCCGGCCUGAGAGGGUGACCGGCCACACUGGGACUGAGACACGGCCCAGACUCCUACGGGAGGCAGCAGUGGGGAAUAUUGCACAAUGGGCGAAAGCCUGAUGCAGCGACGCCGCGUGAGGGAUGACGGCCUUCGGGUUGUAAACCUCUUUCAGCAGGGAAGAAGCCACAAGUGACGGUACCUGCAGAAGAAGCGCCGGCUAACUACGUG